RNAcentral lists this small RNA (29 nucleotides) under Bombyx mori (domestic silkworm). RNAcentral's name for it is "ovarian small RNA-7306". The record is from RNAcentral. Lineage: Eukaryota; Metazoa; Arthropoda; Insecta; Lepidoptera; Bombycidae.
UCCCUAACACGCGAAUAUUCUGUGGUUGC